AUUGAACGCUGGCGGCAUGCCUUACACAUGCAAGUCGAACGGCAGCACGGGAGCAAUUCUGGUGGCGAGUGGCGAACGGGUGAGUAAUAUAUCGGAACGUGCCCAGUCGUGGGGAUAACGUAGCGAAAGCUACGCUAAUACCGCAUACGAUCUAUGGAUGAAAGCGGGGGAUCGCAAGACCUCGCGCGAUUGGAGCGGCCGAUAUCAGAUUAGGUAGUUGGUGAGGUAAAGGCUCACCAAGCCGACGAUCUGUAGCUGGUCUGAGAGGACGACCAGCCACACUGGGACUGAGACACGGCCCAGACUCCUACGGAGGCAGCAGUGGGGAAUUUUGGGACAAUGGGCGCAAGCCUGAUCCAGCAAUGCCGCGUGCAGGAUGAAGGCCUUCGGGUUGUAACUGC
Molecule: ribosomal RNA, 401 nt
Filed under: uncultured bacterium
Lineage: Bacteria
Description: bacterial SSU rRNA
Rfam family: Bacterial small subunit ribosomal RNA
Source: RNAcentral